RNAcentral lists this long non-coding RNA (584 nucleotides) under Equus caballus (horse). Its description in RNAcentral is "lncRNA (ENSECAG00000051913.1)". The record is from RNAcentral. Lineage: Eukaryota; Metazoa; Chordata; Mammalia; Perissodactyla; Equidae.
GCAAAGAUUUGGUAAAGGUCCAGAAAUCUAAACAGUGGGCUGUGCUUAUUAAGUUGGACUGUACAUUGAGCUAACAAACACAUCCCCCGUCUCCUUGACAACCAGAAUACAAGCAUGUUUUACCUGCGUUAUCUACUCUCGUUGCUGAAGCCAGUGCAUAAUUAGUGGAGAAAAAAACAUAGGUGCCAGUUGGAGACCCCCCAGGGCGGAGGAGGAAAGAAUGGGAGCCAAGUGGGGAGACAGAAAGAGAAUACACAUGAGGAAACAGCUUCAAAGGGUCCUUGCAAGCUGAGGAACUCAUCAAGAAAGUGUUGCCUAAGGCCCCAUGACUCAUAAGUGCCAUGGCUAAGAUUUGAACUCCUUCUUAAAGAUGAACCACUCCCUGAAUGAGGUCUCUCUGCUUUUCUAUCUCCACCCAAGCCACCUCCUACUCUCUACUCCCACCAAUGGCUGGUACCAUCUCCCUACCCUCGCUGGAACCCUUAAGAAAAUAGAAUCCCUGAAAGGCUCCAAGAUAGUGGUGUAGGAAAACCCUGAACUCAUCUCCUCCUGUGGACAUACUGAGUCUACACCUACAAAUAGAG